UACGUAGGGUGCAAGCGUUGUCCGGAAUUAUUGGGCGUAAAGAGCUCGUAGGCGGUCUGUCGCGUCUGCUGUGAAAACUCAGGGCUUAACCCUGAGCUUGCAGUGGGUACGGGCAGACUAGAGUGCGGUAGGGGAGACUGGAAUUCCUGGUGUAGCGGUGAAAUGCGCAGAUAUCAGGAGGAACACCGGUGGCGACGGCGGGUCUCUGGGCCGUAACUGACGCUGAGGAGCGAAAGCAUGGGGAGCGAACAGG
This 253-nucleotide ribosomal RNA is filed under the name uncultured bacterium. RNAcentral describes it as "partial 16S ribosomal RNA". It matches the Rfam family "Bacterial small subunit ribosomal RNA", at positions 524 to 776 of the family's 1533-position model. The record is from RNAcentral.